GCAAGGUUAAAACUCAAAUGAAUUGACGGGGGCCCGCACAAGCGGUGGAGCAUGUGGUUUAAUUCGAUGCAACGCGAAGAACCUUACCUACUCUUGACAUCCAGAGAACUUAGCAGAGAUGCUUUGGUGCCUUCGGGAACUCUGAGACAGGUGCUGCAUGGCUGUCGUCAGCUCGUGUUGUGAAAUGUUGGGUUAAGUCCCGCAACGAGCGCAACCCUUAUCCUUUGUUGCCAGCGGUCCGGCCGGGAACUCAAAGGAGACUGCCAGUGAUAAACUGGAGGAAGGUGGGGAUGACGUCAAGUCAUCAUGGCCCUUACGAGUAGGGCUACACACGUGCUACAAUGGCGCAUA
Molecule: ribosomal RNA, 351 nt
Filed under: Enterobacter hormaechei
Lineage: Bacteria; Pseudomonadati; Pseudomonadota; Gammaproteobacteria; Enterobacterales; Enterobacteriaceae
Description: bacterial SSU rRNA
Rfam family: Bacterial small subunit ribosomal RNA
Source: RNAcentral